UCCUCAGAAAUCUCCAGUGAGUGGGCAGUCACCAAAACCGAACAAACUGGGCAAAGUCGCCUAAGAUAACACAGCUGACUGGAAACCAGCCCUGAUCUGCAGAGCUCAGGCUGUCAGCCCCAGCUGUGGGAUGACACCCUGUGUCCCUGGUCCCUCUCACAUUCAGCCAAUAAGAAAGGUGACAGGCAAGGAUGCUGAAGGAGAGGUGGUCAUGUUGGUGGAAAGAGCUGGGAUGAGACGUUCCAGGCCGACAGGCAGGAAGUGAGCAGAGAAGCCUUUGGAGGUCUGAGUGCCCAGCAAAUACCAACGGGGCUGCUUGGCCUCUACCAUCCAAAACACUUAAGACAAAUACACGUGGUGUGUGUCUCGGUGCGAAUGCUCAUCAGAGCCGACCAGGCUGAGACAGAUGAGCUGAAAGGAGAGUGUAUCCACAACUGUGCUGCUGUGGCAACGAGGGGGAGACCCACUAUACUUCAGAGUUCAAGAGUUUUCAGUACAAUGGCAGAGCAAAGUGGUUCACUCCAUGAUGGCCAAGAAGCCUGGCCUACCAGAAGGUUCCGACAGGCAGGACUAGUGUACAUGGUGACCUUUCUUCUCCACUCCAAGCUCUCCUAAGGGACUUCCACGGUGGCAUCCUGCCCGGCUACACAUCACCCAGUUUGCUGACGCUCAGGGGUCUAUAAGACUUGGAGCAAGACAGGAAGCAGCAUCCCUCCGUAGCCUCGGUAUCAGCUCCUGCCUCCAGAGUCUUGCCCUGUGUAUU
Molecule: long non-coding RNA, 763 nt
Organism: Mus caroli (Ryukyu mouse)
Lineage: Eukaryota; Metazoa; Chordata; Mammalia; Rodentia; Muridae
Source: RefSeq, a predicted model, not a curated record